Molecule: RNase P RNA, 351 nt
Filed under: Flavobacteriales bacterium
Lineage: Bacteria; Pseudomonadati; Bacteroidota; Flavobacteriia; Flavobacteriales
Description: RNase P RNA component class A
Rfam family: Bacterial RNase P class A
About the family: Ribonuclease P (RNase P) is a ubiquitous endoribonuclease, found in archaea, bacteria and eukarya as well as chloroplasts and mitochondria. Its best characterised activity is the generation of mature 5'-ends of tRNAs by cleaving the 5'-leader elements of precursor-tRNAs.
Source: RNAcentral
ACGGUUGCCUUUAUCGCCUCAUGCAAGUGGGGAGGAAAGUCCGGACAGCUCAGAGUACCGCACUCCUCGAAAGGGAGGACUAUCAAACGUGAUGGGACAGAAAGUGCUAAAGAGAUUUAAACCGCCGAUGGCCUUCCCGCGCAAGUAGGAAGGAACAGGUAAGGCUGAAAAGGUGGAGUAAGAGACCACCAGCAAUGGAGUGAUCCAUUGGCUUAGGUAAACCUUGCGGGCUGCAAGACCAUGUAAACUAGUGCUUGAGGGCUACUCGCUCGAUGCUAGAGGGUGGGUCGCAUUAGAUCAAUGAUGAAGCAGCUCUUCGGAGCUGAACAGAAUCCGGCUUACACCGUAAUC